GAGUUUGAUCCUGGCUCAGGAUGAACGCUGGCGGCGUGCUUAACACAUGCAAGUCGAACGAAGCACUUUAUUUGAUUUCCUUCGGGACUGAUUAUUUUGUGACUGAGUGGCGGACGGGUGAGUAACGCGUGGGUAACCUGCCUUGUACAGGGGGAUAACAGUUGGAAACGGCUGCUAAUACCGCAUAAGCGCACAGCAUCGCAUGAUGCAGUGCGAAAAACUCCGGUGGUACAAGAUGGACCCGCGUCUGAUUAGCUAGUUGGUGAGGUAACGGCCCACCAAGGCGACGAUCAGUAGCCGACUUGAGAGAGUGAUCGGCCACAUUGGGACUGAGACACGGCCCAAACUCCUACGGGAGGCAGCAGUAGGGAAUAUUGCACAAUGGGGGAAACCCUGAUGCAGCGACGCCGCGUGAAGGAAGAAGUAUUUCGGUAUGUAAACUUCUAUCAGCAAGGAAGAAAAUGACGGUACUUGACUAAGAAGCCCCGGCUAAAUACGUGCCAGCCGCCGCGGUAAUAC
Molecule: ribosomal RNA, 519 nt
Filed under: uncultured bacterium
Lineage: Bacteria
Description: bacterial SSU rRNA
Rfam family: Bacterial small subunit ribosomal RNA
Source: RNAcentral